GAAAUGCGAUAAGUAGUGUGAAUUGCAGAAUUCAGUGAAUCAUCGAAUCUUUGAACGCACAUUGCGCCCCUUGGUAUUCCAUGGGGCAUGCCUGUUCGAGCGUCAUUUGUACCCUCAAGCUAUGCUUGGUGUUGGGUGUUUGUCUCUGCUUUUUGCAGCUAGACUCGCCUUAAAGUAAUUGGCAGCCGGUAUUCUGGUAUAAUGUGCAGCACAAUUUGCGCAUUAGCCUAGGUAUAUCAGCGUCCAUCAAGUUUCUAUCAACACUUUUGACCUCGGAUCAGGUAGGGAUACCCGCUGAACUUAA
RNAcentral lists this unclassified non-coding RNA (304 nucleotides) under uncultured Ascomycota. RNAcentral's name for it is "sequence contains ITS1". The stretch from base 1 to 105 matches the Rfam family "5.8S ribosomal RNA", at positions 50 to 154 of the family's 154-position model. Lineage: Eukaryota; Fungi; Ascomycota. The record is from RNAcentral.